GAUGAACGCUGGCGGCGUGCCUAAUACAUGCAAGUCGAGCGAACGGACGAGAAGCUUGCUUCUCUGAUGUUAGCGGCGGACGGGUGAGUAACACGUGGAUAACCUACCUAUAAGACUGGGAUAACUUCGGGAAACCGUAGCUAAUACCGGAUAAUAUUUUGAACCGCAUGGUUCAAAAGUGAAAGACGGUCUUGCUGUCACUUAUAGAUGGAUCCGCGCUGCAUUAGCUAGUUGGUAAGGUAACGGCUUACCAAGGCAACGAUGCAUAGCCGACCUGAGAGGGUGAUCGGCCACACUGGAACUGAGACACGGUCCAGACUCCUACGGGAGGCAGCAGUAGGGAAUCUUCCGCAAUGGGCGAAAGCCUGACGGAGCAGCGCCGCGUGAGUGAUGAAGGUCUUCGGAUCGUAAAACUCUGUUAUUAGGGAAGAACAUAUGUGUAAGUAACUGUGCACAUCUUGACGGUACCUAAUCAGAAAGCCACGGCUAACUACGUG
RNAcentral lists this ribosomal RNA (497 nucleotides) under uncultured bacterium. RNAcentral describes it as "partial 16S ribosomal RNA". It matches the Rfam family "Bacterial small subunit ribosomal RNA", at positions 28 to 507 of the family's 1533-position model. The record is from RNAcentral.